GUUUGGGAUUAAGGCUUUGUUGUUUUUAUAACCAACUAAUUUCUUUGGGUUACGUUCUCAGGUUCACCUCAUUCUGAUGAUGCUCAAUAUAGCAGCCAUGUUCAUGAAAAACAGUAAAUUCCCUCUAAAGAACUAGAUAAACAAAUACAAAUAUGAAGUAAGAUAAAUAAAAAAUAUAUACAUUAAACUUUGGCUUCAAGCUAGCUUCUCUAGCAGCAUUUCUAUUCCAGAAAAAGUAAAAUAUAGACCAAUUCAUCAUUAUUAAUGAGACGACAUCAUUCAAGUUUCCGGUGAUGAUUGCUCCUUCAAUAUGUGCACAACUCCUAUGAAU
This 331-nucleotide unclassified non-coding RNA is filed under the name Hevea brasiliensis (rubber tree). Lineage: Eukaryota; Viridiplantae; Streptophyta; Magnoliopsida; Malpighiales; Euphorbiaceae. The record is from RNAcentral.